Enterococcus saccharolyticus subsp. saccharolyticus ATCC 43076 is the source of this 33-nucleotide non-coding RNA. The record is from Rfam. Lineage: Bacteria; Bacillati; Bacillota; Bacilli; Lactobacillales; Enterococcaceae.
CUCUGACUCAGCAAAUGAUUCAGGGCAAAGGAG